This 339-nucleotide unclassified non-coding RNA is filed under the name soil metagenome. RNAcentral describes it as "partial contains 5.8S ribosomal RNA, internal transcribed spacer 2, and large subunit ribosomal RNA". The stretch from base 1 to 120 matches the Rfam family "5.8S ribosomal RNA", at positions 35 to 154 of the family's 154-position model. The record is from RNAcentral.
GAUGAAGAACGCAGCGAAAUGCGAUACGUAGUGUGAAUUGCAGAAUUCAGUGAAUCAUCGAAUGUUUGAACGCACAUUGCACCUCUCGGUAUUCCGGGAGGUAUGCCUGUUCGAGCGUCAUUUGUACCCUCAAGCUCUGCUUGGUGUUGGGUGUUUGUUCCGCCUCUGUGUGUGAACUCGCCUCAAAACAAUUGGCAGCCGGCGUACUUGUUUCGGAGCGCAGCACAUUUUGCGAUCCAGAUCAACGUACAGCGGCAUCCAAGAAGCCUUAUUUAACGCUCUUGACCUCGGAUCAGGUAGGGAUACCCGCUGAACUUAAGCAUAUCAAUAAGCGGAGGA